GUCCUGGUAGCUCAGUGGUAGAGCAUGCGACUCCAGUUAAGUCUGGGUAUCGCAGGGUCGCGCGUUCAACUCGCGUCCGGGACU
Molecule: non-coding RNA, 84 nt
Organism: Microbotryomycetes sp. JL201
Lineage: Eukaryota; Fungi; Basidiomycota; Microbotryomycetes
Source: the annotation of a GenBank genome assembly